UAACAUCACAAUACUUAUUUAUACUUAUAUUCAUUAUAGUUAUUAAUGUAUUAAAGGAUAAGUUCACUCAAAAAUGAAUUUUUGAGUGGCUGGCGUGAACACGGAUUAUUUUAUUCUGAAAAGUAACCGGAUGUUGUGAUGUUGUUUCGGUGAGUCACUUCCGGUCUGAGCCGCUUCAGCAUCCAGCAGAUAGAAUCCUGAUACCAACUGCCGGAAACCGCCGAGGGAGUCCGAGUCCUCGCGAGCGGCGGGAAGAAGAGUAUCAGUGCAUCGUUUUCAUCACAACAUCUAACAACAAGUCGCUACGUCACGUCUCAUUCACCUCAGCAGGAGGACAGCCAGACCAACUCUGAUGUCACAUAAAGAUCUCUGGAUCAGACUGAACGUGACUGAGAAUGGAUGUGGAAACAAGCGAGUCGACACAAAGUCCUGGAGAAAGUGAUCUAGAACCAGAACAUCCAGAACACAAGAUACCCAGGGAGAUCAACGGGUCAGGUUUGGAUUCAGAUAACAGUGGCCUUGUAAGAGUGGACAGCUGCAGCUCCACUAUAUCCUGUGAGUCCUUCAGGAGUGAUCGGUCAAAAGAGGAACCAGAUGAUUUCAAAGGAAGUCAAUCUCCUGACAGUGAAGGGAUGAAUCUCUCAACUACCAAGAAGUCUGUUGAUGGAGGUGGGAUGAAAGCCUUGCUGAUGUACCUGCCAGGAGCUUCUUCCAUCGGUUGGUUCCUGAAAUCUGCUCUGCUGUUGCUGCCAGUCCUGUAUCACGGUGCUAAAAAAAAGUUGUUUAAAUGA
This 791-nucleotide long non-coding RNA is filed under the name Sparus aurata (gilthead seabream). RNAcentral's name for it is "lncRNA (ENSSAUG00010014169.1)". The record is from RNAcentral. Lineage: Eukaryota; Metazoa; Chordata; Actinopteri; Spariformes; Sparidae.